AAGGUCGGCUUCUUCAUCCAAUCCCUCGUCGCAGCAACCGUCCUCGCUCCCUGCCUCCCUCAGUUCCGCUCUUCGUCUUUGAGGGCCAUUGCCCGUGCGUCACCCGAGCCCGUGCCCGGAAUCUUUGUAGAAGCGUCUGGAGGACUCCCACCCGGCUGCCAGCCAUGGCUGAGAAUCUGGCGCCCGAGAAGCGCCACUCCUUCGUGCACAACGGGCAGAAGGUGUUCGAGUGGGACCAGACGCUGGAGGAGGUCAACAUGUACAUCGAGCUCCCGAAGGGUGUGCCAACCAAGCUAUUUCACUGCAGCAUCCAGGCUAGCCACGUCGAGGUCGGCAUCCGCGGCAACCCGCCAUACCUCAACCAUGACCUGACACACCCAGUGAAGACUGACUCGUCGUUCUGGACAAUAGGUGUGACGGAACUCAUUGCUCUUGAAUGCCUUAUUGUUGACUCUUUCUGGCCGUCGUCCGCUCGUGAUGUGGAAGCUGGAAGACAAAACGACGCGGCUGCCGCAACCCUUGAUCUAGAAGGAAUAGUGCAUGAUUGCAGUCUAGACUAGGCGGCGGCGCCACGGACGAGUGUGCUGGGCUAUAAACUGUAUGGGUCGGCCAGCUGUCUGUUGGUUUUUGGGCUUUUGAGAUGAUGUCCUUGUAUAAAUUGGGCUGCUGUCAUCUACUAUAAGGGCUGCUGUCAUCUACUAUAAGAUUUAGUUUUAUAUAUGGACCAAGCCAAAAGUCAUUGGUGUCCAGGGACAGCAUGCCUUCUACAUGGAUCCGCCCCUGUCUGACAUCUUCAAGACGGUGAGAUGCAUAUAACACUGCAAAAAAGAGAGAAGGGGAAAACAUGGUCAUCUCCAAUACAAGGGCAAGGGAUUUUGGAUCCAUAUGCUGCAGAUCAAGAGCAAAAGCGGCUUAUGCUCCAAAGGUUUCAGGAAGAGAACCCUGGGUUCGACUUUUCACAGGCUCAGUUCAGUGGAACCUGCCCUGACCCAAGAACCUUCAUGGGAGGGAUACGCUCCGAGUGAAGCACCCUACCUGCCUAUGUACGUUUCUACUAUAUCCUCGGCAUCUUGAUAGAUGCAGCAGGCGUGCUUAUUAUGUCUGUAAAUCGGUUGGUGUCUGUUAUGGAAAUAAUUGUGAUGUGUGACCAUUUGUGUGCAAGCACAUUUUGCGUGCUUAAUUCUAGUUUAUAGUUGUGAUCUUCAUUCAGGAGCUGUU
Zea mays is the source of this 1218-nucleotide RNA transcript. RefSeq lists it as uncharacterized. The transcript is spliced from 7 exons. Lineage: Eukaryota; Viridiplantae; Streptophyta; Magnoliopsida; Poales; Poaceae. The record is from RefSeq and is marked validated.